UACGUAGGGUCCAAGCGUUAUCCGGAAUCACUGGGCGUAAAGCGUGCGUAGGCGGGCGUUUAAGUGCAAUGCGAAAUCCUGUGGCUCAACCAUAUGGACUGUAUUGCAUACUGGAUACCUGGAGGAAUGCAGAGGCAAGUGGAAUUACUGGUGUAGCAGUGAAAUGCGCAGAUAUCAGGAGGAACACCAAUGGCGAAGGCAGCUCGCUGGGACGUGACUGACGCUGAGACGCGAAAGCGUGGGGAGCAAACAGG
This 254-nucleotide ribosomal RNA is filed under the name uncultured bacterium. RNAcentral describes it as "partial 16S ribosomal RNA". It matches the Rfam family "Bacterial small subunit ribosomal RNA", at positions 524 to 776 of the family's 1533-position model. The record is from RNAcentral.